UCAAAAACAUGUCUUUUUGAUAUUAAUUUAAAGUCUAAUCUGCCCACUGAUAAAUAUUAUUAAAGGGCUGCAGUAUAUUGACUGUACAAAGGUAGCAUAAUCAUUAGUCUUUUAAUUGAAGACUUGUAUGAAAGAUUUGAUGAAAUAUAAACUGUCUCUAAUUUAUAAAUAGAAAUUAAUUUUUUAAUUAAAAAGUUAAAAUAUUAUUAAAAGACGAGAAGACCCUAUAGAGUUUUAUAAUUUAUUUAUUUAAUUAUAAAAUAUAUAUUUAAAUUUAAUAAAUAGAUAAAUUAUUAUAUUGGGGUGAUAAAAAAAUUUAAUAAACUUUUUUUAAUUAAAUAACAUAAAUAAAUGAAAAAAUGAUCCAUUAUUAAUGAUUAAAAGAAAAAAUUACCUUAGGGAUAACAGCGUAAUAUUUUUUUUUAGUACAAAUAAAAAAAAAAGUUUGCGACCUCGAUGUUGGAUUAAGAUAAAAUUUAAAUGCAAAAGUUUAAAAGUUUUGAUCUGUUCGAUCAUUAAAAUCUUACAUGAUCUGAGCU
This 539-nucleotide ribosomal RNA is filed under the name Euphydryas chalcedona. Its description in RNAcentral is "partial 16S ribosomal RNA". The stretch from base 401 to 539 matches the Rfam family "Archaeal large subunit ribosomal RNA", at positions 2542 to 2680 of the family's 2987-position model. The record is from RNAcentral. Lineage: Eukaryota; Metazoa; Arthropoda; Insecta; Lepidoptera; Nymphalidae.